UACGGAGGAUGCAAGCGUUAUCCGGAAUGAUUGGGCGUAAAGCGUCCGCAGGUGGCAAUGUAAGUCUGCUGUUAAAGAGUGAGGCUCAACCUCAUAAAGGCAGUGGAAACUACAUGGCUAGAGUGCGUUCGGGGCAGAGGGAAUUCCUGGUGUAGCGGUGAAAUGCGUAGAGAUCAGGAAGAACACCGGUGGCGAAAGCGCUCUGCUAGGCCGCAACUGACACUGAGGGACGAAAGCUAGGGGAGCGAAUGGG
This 253-nucleotide ribosomal RNA is filed under the name uncultured bacterium. RNAcentral describes it as "partial 16S ribosomal RNA". It matches the Rfam family "Bacterial small subunit ribosomal RNA", at positions 524 to 776 of the family's 1533-position model. The record is from RNAcentral.